GGUGAGUAAUGUCUGGGAAACUGCCUGAUGGAGGGGGAUAACUACUGGAAACGGUAGCUAAUACCGCAUAACGUCGCAAGACCAAAGAGGGGGACCUUCGGGCCUCUUGCCAUCAGAUGUGCCCAGAUGGGAUUAGCUUGCUGGUGGGGUAACGGCUCACCAAGGCGACGAUCCCUAGCUGGUCUGAGAGGAUGACCAGCCACACUGGAACUGAGACACGGUCCAG
RNAcentral lists this ribosomal RNA (226 nucleotides) under uncultured Enterobacterales bacterium. RNAcentral's name for it is "partial 16S ribosomal RNA". It matches the Rfam family "Bacterial small subunit ribosomal RNA", at positions 105 to 334 of the family's 1533-position model. Lineage: Bacteria; Pseudomonadati; Pseudomonadota; Gammaproteobacteria; Enterobacterales. The record is from RNAcentral.